Marasmius tenuissimus is the source of this 93-nucleotide non-coding RNA. The record is from the annotation of a GenBank genome assembly. Lineage: Eukaryota; Fungi; Basidiomycota; Agaricomycetes; Agaricales; Marasmiaceae.
GGUUCGAUGGCGUAGUUGGUUAUCGCAUCUGUCUAACAUAAUAGGUGCUGCAUGUAGCACAGAAGGUCCCCAGUUCGAGCCUGGGUCGAAUCA